UGAGAAAGACUUUGAAAGUUAUCGAUCUAACUAGGAGAGUCAAGGAUCUGACUCGAAUAGCCAUGGCUGGCCAAAGAAAGGUUAGGGAUAACCAGAGAAGGGCCAUAAACUGAAAUAGAGCAAGGACUGGACCAGAUUCCCUCAAGGUCUAACCAUGAAACCAACACCCCAGAGCCAUGGGAGGCUGAUACAUGUCUCAAAUGACCAUGAGGGGACAUGGAUUAAAAAGGUAUCAAGGUGGGGUGAGAGGGAGGCAGCUAGGGUUCACAAGACUUUCAGAGAGCGUCGAGAGAGAAGAGGGAUU
RNAcentral lists this long non-coding RNA (304 nucleotides) under Nicotiana benthamiana. RNAcentral describes it as "long non-coding RNA (NBEN_LNC029866)". Lineage: Eukaryota; Viridiplantae; Streptophyta; Magnoliopsida; Solanales; Solanaceae. The record is from RNAcentral.